CUUUUGUAUGUUUAUUUCAUGCAAAGGAGAAAAAAUAUGGCUCAAAUUCUCUUUUAUGUUUAUGCUUUGAUCAUCCUUUUUUCUCCAUCUCUUGUUGUACCACUAAAAGUAAUAAUUCCGUCAAGUACCUGUGAUUCUGACUAUGAUUGUUUACGUUACGAAGAAGCACUCAAUGUUAUUACAUGUUGCAAUAAUGGCCUUUGUGUGAUGUUUUGCCCAGACUUUGAUUGAAAAGAACAUGAGAAAAUUGCGACAAUUGUAUGAAAAAACCCAAUUACAGUGAUAAUAUUGUGCUUAUAAAUGCGGGGAGAGACAUGGUCCGGAGCAGAUUUGAUGGAGAGGUAGAGGCGGCGAUUGGUGUUGGAGAAAGUAGAGAUGGAACUUUAGGAGGAGGUGUGGAGAUCCUUACACACAUCUGGGAAAUUCUAAUGAAAUCCACCACACGUGUGAAAGCCCUCGUUAAAUCAACCAAAAAGUAGGACACAGUAAUAAAAUUGUAUGUGAGCACUGAGCAUAGAAAAUAUAUAUGAAUACCUUGAAAAAAUGAAAAUGCUCUUUAAGAUCUUAAAUAUUGAUAUAUUGUUAGAGUUCAUAAA
Medicago truncatula (barrel medic) is the source of this 596-nucleotide long non-coding RNA. RefSeq lists it as uncharacterized. The record is from RefSeq and is a predicted model, not a curated record. NCBI's taxonomy places the organism in Eukaryota, Viridiplantae, Streptophyta, Magnoliopsida, Fabales, Fabaceae. The transcript is spliced from 3 exons.